This 425-nucleotide ribosomal RNA is filed under the name uncultured bacterium. Its description in RNAcentral is "partial 16S ribosomal RNA". It matches the Rfam family "Bacterial small subunit ribosomal RNA", at positions 355 to 769 of the family's 1533-position model. The record is from RNAcentral.
UGGGGAAUUUUGGACAAUGGGCGAAAGCCUGAUCCAGCAAUGCCGCGUGUGUGAAGAAGGCCUUCGGGUUGUAAAGCACUUUUGUCCGGAAAGAAAUCCUUGGCUCUAAUACAGUCGGGGGAUGACGGUACCGGAAGAAUAAGCACCGGCUAACUACGUGCCAGCAGCCGCGGUAAUACGUAGGGUGCAAGCGUUAAUCGGAAUUACUGGGCGUAAAGCGUGCGCAGGCGGUUUGCUAAGACCGAUGUGAAAAUCCCCGGGCUCAACCUGGGAACUGCAUUGGUGACUGGCAGGCUAGAGUAUGGCAGAGGGGGGUAGAAUUCCACGUGUAGCAGUGAAAUGCGUAGAGAUGUGGAGGAAUACCGAUGGCGAAGGCAGCCCCCUGGGCCAAAUACUGACGCUCAUGCACGAAAAGCGUGGGGAGC